AAAAAAAAACCACUUCGUGUCAUUUUUUCUGCAAGUUAAAACAGCCCGUACAGUUCAUCUAGAUAGAACUCUCCUCUCACGGCGUGCAAUCCCCACCAAGCUUCUCAUCCACAUGCGUCAAUGGUGGGCAUCAGGAAACUAAUCCCCAGUCUGUGCAUGGAUCUCGACGACCUCGUAGAUGGCGAGGGGGAAUGCGGGAUGCGCUGCUCAAACUUCUCAUGUCCGGAGGCUCGCGGCGGUGGCGGAGGUUCUGGAUCUUGGUGGCGUGGCGGAGGUACUGGGGUAGCUCCCGGAUGGGAGAAUAUGAGCAAGAUGUGACCAACAUCUGUGGGCGGCUGCUUAAUUGUUGCCCUGAUAGCUGGUGAUGUUGGACUCCUACCAAAUGUGAGAAGCAGUUGGGCAUGACUUUGUUGGAUGUCGAGUUUUAGGCCGCAUGAAGUGUCUGGCCUUGCUUCAUCAGACAUCGAGCUACACGGCCCGUGGUGGUUUUUACUGACUAAUACUUGUGGGGCUUCCUUCGCGCUUCGUCUUACCGGCAUACUUCGAUGUUCUUGGUGGCUUGUUUGAGUUGCCCUUUUUCCUGACUACUACCUCUUGGAUGUCUACUUGUGUGGCUGGUCAUCAAAAGUCGCUCUAGUUCUUGCAGGCCAUAGUAUUUUUCCUUAAAAUCUAUAGGAAUUAGUUGUCAAUUGAUAAAGUACAUAUGAAGAUGUUAUACAGAAUAAGUGAAUUUACUUACUAAACUUGAUGAUUCAGAUCAGUAGUGGUUGGGCGUGACUUUGUUGGACGCCGAGUAGCAUGUUGCAUUAAACUUGAUCCCUGCUUUGCUGAGCAAUACUUGUGGGGCGUCGAGUCGCGCUUCGUCUUACCGACAGACUUCCAUGUUCUUUGUGGCUUGUUUGAGUUGCCCUUUUUUUGACUUCUACUUCUUGGAUGUCUGCUUGUGUGGCCAGCAUGAUUCGUUUAUGUGGGUUUGCUUUGGCCGGGUUGCUCUUGACGACACCAUGUACAGUUUUUGUCCCAUCUAUGCCUUAUUUGCAUCUGUCUAAUUUGGAAGUCUAAGCACGUGAUGUGUGGUGUUGUGGCCUCGUAUCCUUGUUUGUUUGUGAUUGCAUGCGUGUUGAGUCUUGAGUCGCGUUCGUGCUUGUGUCUAACCAACCGAUGGAAAAUUAGCUAUUUCCUUGUGCUCGGGUUGUGUCGGACAGAAAAGAGAUGUGUUUUUUUUUCACGGGAAAGAUAAAAGAGAUGUGUUGAAACUAUAUAUAUGUGACAUGUCAAUAUUUGUAUGUAACAUUUACAUCUUUUUAAUCUCAGCCAUUGAUCUCUAAAAUUAGCGACUAAGAUAAUUUAAAUAUAUGUGGAUGAACGUGGAUGCUUAUUUGUCUCUUGUUUUAAGAGGUUUUUAAUAGGGAGGUGUAUGAGUUUUUUUUACAUCAAAAGUAUGUGAGUUGGUCUGAAGACGCCUUGAACUAUUUGUACGUUAUAUGUGUCAAA
Aegilops tauschii subsp. strangulata is the source of this 1494-nucleotide long non-coding RNA. RefSeq lists it as uncharacterized. The record is from RefSeq and is a predicted model, not a curated record. Lineage: Eukaryota; Viridiplantae; Streptophyta; Magnoliopsida; Poales; Poaceae.